This 407-nucleotide ribosomal RNA is filed under the name uncultured bacterium. RNAcentral describes it as "bacterial SSU rRNA". It matches the Rfam family "Bacterial small subunit ribosomal RNA", at positions 127 to 518 of the family's 1533-position model. The record is from RNAcentral.
GACCCCCCGGCCCGGGAUAGCCCCAGGGAAACCUGGAUUAAUACCGGAUGAGACGGGACCCGCGAUGGCGGGACCCGGGAAAGGCGCUGCGGCGCCGCCGGGGGAUGAGUCUGCGUCCCAUUAGCUAGACGGCGGGUAACGGCCCACCGUGGCGACGAUGGGUAGCCGGCCUGACGAGGGUGGACGGCCACAUUGGAACUGAGACACGGUCCAGACUCCUACGGGAGGCAGCAGCUAAGAAUCUUCCGCAAUGGGCGAAAGCCUGACGGAGCGAACCGCCGCGUGAACGAAGAAGGCCGUGAGGUUGUAAAGUUCUUUUCGGGAGGGGGAACAACCGUGGCAGGGAAUGGCCGCGGGAUGACGUGAAUCCCGGAAUAAGCCCCGGCUAACUACGUGCCAGCCGCCGC